Long non-coding RNA from Cannabis sativa, 401 nucleotides. RefSeq lists it as uncharacterized. NCBI's taxonomy places the organism in Eukaryota, Viridiplantae, Streptophyta, Magnoliopsida, Rosales, Cannabaceae. The record is from RefSeq and is a predicted model, not a curated record. The transcript is spliced from 2 exons.
UACCUACCCGUAAUGGUUGCCGGGCAGGUCAGGGCAGGUUAGGGCAGGGCAGGGCAGGGCAGGGCAUCUUGGAUGGAUGGGCAUGUCAUGGAUGAUGAUGGGUCUCCAUUUCGUGGAAGACCCUCUUCUGUUGUGAUCCACUGAAACAGGUUGGCGUGUAUGUGCUCGUACCAAUACCACAGACUUUGCUGUGUAAUUGUCUUUAAUAUUAUUUUCUAACAUAUAUAUAAUAUAACUGAGGAAACCUUGAUUAAGAUUUAGGAGUAUUUAUAUGUUUUGAGUAAAUAUUCAAUUGUCAGUGUGGUUGUUGGCGGUAUGCAUAUGUAUUUUAAGGGUGUGUAUUUGUGUUCAUGUUAUAUAAUUGACAUGUUUAAUUAAUUAAUUUUAACCUAAUUAAUAUA